RNAcentral lists this small RNA (155 nucleotides) under Arabidopsis thaliana (thale cress). Its description in RNAcentral is "ATSL288960". Lineage: Eukaryota; Viridiplantae; Streptophyta; Magnoliopsida; Brassicales; Brassicaceae. The record is from RNAcentral.
UAAUGACUUCAAUGUUUUGGACCAUAUUGCCUUUAGUUAAGUAGUUAAGUUCAUUUGACUCCUAAUUUUUACCGGAGUUCGAUUCUACUAAAUCGCAUUAUUCUGCGUAAUAGAUACUGACUAUAGAUCGGGCCUUAUACAUCCAAAGAUGUAGA